This 456-nucleotide ribosomal RNA is filed under the name Triticum aestivum (bread wheat). RNAcentral describes it as "partial small subunit ribosomal RNA". The record is from RNAcentral. Lineage: Eukaryota; Viridiplantae; Streptophyta; Magnoliopsida; Poales; Poaceae.
AUGCCGUCUGCGUCGGCGUCGGCGUCGAGCCGUCAAGGGUGCGGGAUGUGGGAUGUCUGCCCAUCCGCAACUACUGGAAGAACACGCUGGCAGCGAGCGUCUCCAAGAGCAAGGGAGGAGAUGACGUUGCAGCUCAAGGGGGCCUCACUACCUGAAGGCGGAUCUGCCCCGGUGCACCGCACGCUGUGGUGGUGCAUACAGCGCUGGCGGCCAUGGUAUGAUAUAGUGGCAACCGUGGCCGGCACGACAAAGGUGGAUAUGUGGAGGAGCCGUGGAAGCACCCCUGCGCGCGCCCUCGCGUGGCGGCUCCACCCGCUGCCUGCUGCUGCCUUGAAAGUUGCAACGCCGCUGCUCUCUGCACUUUCAGCAAUCAUGGCAGCCCCAAGCCAUGCUGUUCUCGAUGCCAUAUUUUCUAAUUCGAAAUCUUUGCAUUUUUUUGGUAUUUGCUGGGAUUGA